AUAAAUACAAGUAGGCGUUCAUUCUAAAAACAAUGAAAACUAACGAUCCAAAUUUUUUCUUACUAGAAUUAUUAUUUUUAAAUUUUAAAAUGUACUUUUUUUUUCGUAUUCAUGAUCUCCAUGUUAGAGAUUCCAUGUUUUCAAAACUAAAUCCAAAAAUCCAUCUCAAAAUAGAUUUAUUAAUAGGCCUGCAUUUUUACAUAUGCGAGCUUGGUUGCAUAGAAAUCGGGUCCUCUUGGAAUUGUCUGAGCUCUUGUUGAUUUUAGAUAAGAAAACAAUAACAGAAUCAUCAUAGAAAAUUAUUAGCAGCUUGAAAAUAGAAUCCACAACCCAAAACCUCGAAAUAAAAUUCCACAACCAUAGGGCUUGCUUGGUAGCCUUAUAGCAAUAUGUAAAUUGCAACCAUAGGGCGUGCUUAGUAGCCUUAUAACAAGCUGUAAAUUCUGCUUC
Molecule: long non-coding RNA, 450 nt
Filed under: Amborella trichopoda
Lineage: Eukaryota; Viridiplantae; Streptophyta; Magnoliopsida; Amborellales; Amborellaceae
Description: long non-coding RNA (ATRI_LNC004580)
Source: RNAcentral